Molecule: long non-coding RNA, 1045 nt
Organism: Mesocricetus auratus (golden hamster)
Lineage: Eukaryota; Metazoa; Chordata; Mammalia; Rodentia; Cricetidae
Exons: 3
Source: RefSeq, a predicted model, not a curated record
GGCUGCGCGGGCUCUUUCAGGCUCGUCUGGAAACCUGUGCCCGGGGCCCACCUGCUAAAACAGUUCAGGGAUCUGAGCAUUGGCCAACCCCGGACAGCAGGCUAGAAAGUUGCACUGCUUGCAACAGCUGUGCAAGCCCCUCGUUUGGGUAUCAGCGUUUUUGGGUCCCAAGGGCACCGAUGGAUUGUGCUUGACAGUGCAAAGAGACCCAAGGUCCCAGGAACAGAGCAUCUGCCGGACACACACACACACACCACCCACCUUCUAUCAACCAGACUCUGUUAACAGGAACAGAAGGCUGACCUAAGUGUUUUAGACCACCUACCUCAUCCCCACCCCCGAACCCAUUUCCAACAGGGAUACCAAGCUGAUGCUCAGCAGAUGGAAGGCCGCUGGCAGCUCGCGGAUUGGAGUCACUGAAGGGAGCCCAGGAGGAGUUGCAGCAGAAGACUACAGCAUUUUGGAGAUGACAGUACCACAGGGUGACCACCAAGAACAGCAGGGAAUGAGUGGAGCCAACCAGAGCCUAGAAACAAGCUAGGUGUGCUUCCACAGCAGAGAGCAGAGCCAGAGAAGUAACCCUUUGGAGGAGCCCAGAAGAUGGCAGGUCCUGAGAAGCUGCCUUUGCGGAAAGCCCCCACCCUUGCUGCAGCCACGGGAGACCUAACAGCAGGAAGAAGCCUGGCUGUUUUGAUUCUGUCUUGACUUUGGAUCGGACUUCAGCCCACUACACACAGGCAUGCUAGCCACCCAAAGAAUGCAUCCCACCAAACACCAGAGAGAACACAGAAACCAGGAUCAGUCGUUGGAACACUCCAGGGUGUGUGAUCCGGACAACAUCCAGGCCUGUAGUCCCCUUAGGUUCCAGGGACCAGCCAGUAGUCACAUGGCCUGUGUCUAUUUCAUCACCCAACUGAACAGCCACCUCGCAGGCAGGCAUGUGGGGACACCAGACCUUGAGCAGAGACCCACUUCCCCAUCAGCCUGGGAGUAGGCAGCUGUAAGACAAUGUUUACUAAAAACAUGUUUACUAAAAACAAUACAA